This 253-nucleotide ribosomal RNA is filed under the name uncultured bacterium. Its description in RNAcentral is "partial 16S ribosomal RNA". It matches the Rfam family "Bacterial small subunit ribosomal RNA", at positions 524 to 776 of the family's 1533-position model. The record is from RNAcentral.
UACGUAGGGUGCGAGCGUUGCUCGGAUUGACUGGGCGUAAAGGGCGCGUAGGCGGUUCGUACAGUCAGACGUGAAAUUCCUGGGCUCAACCUGGGGGCUGCGUUUGAUACGUGUGGACUUGAGUGCGGAAGAGGGUCGUGGAAUUCCCAGUGUAGAGGUGAAAUUCGUAGAUAUUGGGAAGAACACCGGUGGCGAAGGCGGCGACCUGGUCCGAUACUGACGCUGAGGCGCGAAAGCGUGGGGAGCAAACAGG